CCUACGGGAGGCAGCAGUGGGGAAUUUUGGACAAUGGGCGAAAGCCUGAUCCAGCAAUGCCGCGUGAGUGAAGAAGGCCUUCGGGUUGUAAAGCUCUUUUGUCAGGGAAGAAACGGUGGGAGCUAAUAUCUCUUGCUAAUGACGGUACCUGAAGAAUAAGCACCGGCUAACUACGUGCCAGCAGCCGCGGUAAUACGUAGGGUGCAAGCGUUAAUCGGAAUUACUGGGCGUAAAGCGUGCGCAGGCGGUUUUGUAAGUCUGAUGUGAAAUCCCCGGGCUCAACCUGGGAAUUGCAUUGGAGACUGCAAGGCUAGAAUCUGGCAGAGGGGGGUAGAAUUCCACGUGUAGCAGUGAAAUGCGUAGAUAUGUGGAGGAACACCGAUGGCGAAGGCAGCCCCCUGGGUCAAGAUUGACGCUCAUGCACGAAAGCGUGGGGAGCAAACAGGAUUAGAUACCCUGGUAGUCCACGCCCUAAACGAUGUCUACUAGUUGUCGGGUCUUAAUUGACUUGGUAACGCAGCUAACGCGUAGAAGUACGACCGCCGUCGGGAGGUACGGUCGCGAGAAGUAAACGUACGAAGUAGUAAGUUAGUACGGACGUAGAGACGUUAGCCGACGGACGACGACGAGGGAGGAGG
This 638-nucleotide ribosomal RNA is filed under the name uncultured bacterium. RNAcentral describes it as "bacterial SSU rRNA". The stretch from base 1 to 544 matches the Rfam family "Bacterial small subunit ribosomal RNA", at positions 338 to 873 of the family's 1533-position model. The record is from RNAcentral.